AGUUAGGGUGGCAGAGCCCGGAAAGUGCAAAAGGCCUAAGCCCUUUUAACAGAGGUUCAAAUCCUCUCCAUAACUA
Molecule: transfer RNA, 76 nt
Filed under: Rhinogobius formosanus
Lineage: Eukaryota; Metazoa; Chordata; Actinopteri; Gobiiformes; Gobiidae
Description: tRNA-Leu
Rfam family: tRNA
About the family: Transfer RNA (tRNA) molecules are approximately 80 nucleotides in length.
Source: RNAcentral